Molecule: ribosomal RNA, 397 nt
Filed under: uncultured bacterium
Lineage: Bacteria
Description: bacterial SSU rRNA
Rfam family: Bacterial small subunit ribosomal RNA
Source: RNAcentral
UACGAACGCUGGCGGCGCGCCUAACACAUGCAAGUCGAACGAGAAGGCGUAGCAAUACGCUUGUAGAGUGGCGAACGGGUGAGUAAUACGUGGGUGACCUACCCUCGAGUGGGGAAUAACCCGCCGAAAGGCGGGCUAAUGCCGCGUACGCUUCCGUCCUCACGGGGACGGAAGGAAAGCUGUACCGUGGGUACGGCGCUCAAGGAUGGGCUCACGUCCUAUCAGCUUGUUGGUAGGGUAACGGCCACCAAGGCUACGACGGGUAGCUGGUCUGAGAGGACGAUCAGCCACACUGGCACUGCGACACGGGCCAGACUCCUACGGGAGGCAGCAGUGAGGAAUAUUGCGCAAUGGGCGAAAGCCUGACGCAGCGACGCCGCGUGGGGAUGAAGGUCUU